This 82-nucleotide transfer RNA is filed under the name Minisyncoccota bacterium. RNAcentral's name for it is "tRNA-Leu". It matches the Rfam family "tRNA". From Rfam's summary of the family: Transfer RNA (tRNA) molecules are approximately 80 nucleotides in length. Their secondary structure includes four short double-helical elements and three loops (D, anti-codon, and T loops). Lineage: Bacteria; Bacillati; Minisyncoccota. The record is from RNAcentral.
GCCCAGGUGGUGAAAUUGGUAUACACGCAUCCUUGAGGUGGAUGUCCUUUCGGGGGUGGAGGUUCAAGUCCUCUCCUGGGCA